Magnolia sinica is the source of this 87-nucleotide small nucleolar RNA. RefSeq annotates it as small nucleolar RNA snoR114. The record is from RefSeq and is a predicted model, not a curated record. NCBI's taxonomy places the organism in Eukaryota, Viridiplantae, Streptophyta, Magnoliopsida, Magnoliales, Magnoliaceae. The transcript has a single exon.
GGGUGAUGAGGAUUUUUAGUGCAAGUUGUGAUGAUGGGUGUUAUCACAGUUGUCCGAUAUUUGGACAAAACUAGCGCGCCUGAGCUC